CAGUGCAGUCACCCAUAAAGUAGAAAGCACUACUAACAGCACUGGAGGGUGUAGUGUUUCCUACUUUAUGGAUGAGUGUACUGU
Molecule: non-coding RNA, 84 nt
Organism: Rattus norvegicus (Norway rat)
Lineage: Eukaryota; Metazoa; Chordata; Mammalia; Rodentia; Muridae
Source: Rfam